RNAcentral lists this ribosomal RNA (570 nucleotides) under uncultured diatom. Its description in RNAcentral is "SSU rRNA". It matches the Rfam family "Eukaryotic small subunit ribosomal RNA", at positions 495 to 1066 of the family's 1831-position model. The record is from RNAcentral. Lineage: Eukaryota; Bacillariophyta.
UACAGGUCUGGCAAUUGGAAUGAGAACAAUUUAAAUCCCUUAUCGAGUAUCAAUUGGAGGGCAAGUCUGGUGCCAGCAGCCGCGGUAAUUCCAGCUCCAAUAGCGUAUAUUAAAGUUGUUGCAGUUAAAAAGCUCGUAGUUGGAUUUCUGGCAGGAGUGACCGGUCACGCACUCUGUGCGUGAACUUGUGUUGUCUCUGGCCAUCCUUGGGGAAAUCCUGUUUGGCAUUAAGUUGUCGGGCAGGGGAUACCCAUCGUUUACUGUGAAAAAAUUAGAGUGUUUAAAGCAGGCUUAUGCCGUUGAAUAUAUUAGCAUGGAAUAAUAAGAUAGGACUUCGGAACUAUUUUGUUGGUUUGCGUUACGAAGUAAUGAUUAGUAGGGACAGUUGGGGGUAUUCGUAUUCCGUUGUCAGAGGUGAAAUUCUUGGAUUUCCGGAAGACGAACUACUGCGAAAGCAUUUACCAAGGAUGUUUUCAUUAAUCAAGAACGAAAGUGUGGGGAUCGAAGAUGAUUAGAUACCAUCGUAGUCUACACCAUAAACCAUGCCGACUCAGGGUUGACCGGCGUUAU